UGGGGAAUUUUGCACAAUGGGGGAAACCCUGAUGCAGCGACGCCGCGUGAUUUAGAAGGCCUUCGGGUUGUAAAAAUCUUUUGUAUGGGAAGAAAAUGACAGUACCAUACGAAUAAGGACCGGCUAAUUACGUGCCAGCAGCCGCGGUAAUACGUAAGGUCCGAGCGUUGUCCGGAAUCAUUGGGCGUAAAGGGUACGUAGGCGGAUAAGCAAGUUAGAAGUGAAAUCCUAUAGCUCAACUAUAGUAAGCUUUUAAAACUGCUCAUCUUGAUGUAUGGAAGGGAAAGUUGAAUUCCUAGUGUAGCGGUGAAAUGCGCAGAUAUUAGGAGGAAUACCGGUGGCGAAGGCUACUUUCUGGCCAUUUACUGACGCUGAGGUACGAAAGCGUGGGUAGCAAACAGG
This 402-nucleotide ribosomal RNA is filed under the name Verrucomicrobiota bacterium. RNAcentral's name for it is "Verrucomicrobia bacterium partial 16S ribosomal RNA". It matches the Rfam family "Bacterial small subunit ribosomal RNA", at positions 355 to 776 of the family's 1533-position model. The record is from RNAcentral. Lineage: Bacteria; Pseudomonadati; Verrucomicrobiota.